GAAGUGGUAGUUCAGUGGUAGAAUUCUCACCUUCAGUGAGGGAGACCUGGGUUCAACUCCAGGCCAAUGUA
RNAcentral lists this transfer RNA (71 nucleotides) under Loxodonta africana (African savanna elephant). It matches the Rfam family "tRNA". From Rfam's summary of the family: Transfer RNA (tRNA) molecules are approximately 80 nucleotides in length. Their secondary structure includes four short double-helical elements and three loops (D, anti-codon, and T loops). The record is from Rfam by way of RNAcentral. Lineage: Eukaryota; Metazoa; Chordata; Mammalia; Proboscidea; Elephantidae.